AGGGAAUCUUCCACAAUGGACGAAAGUCUGAUGGAGCAACGCCGCGUGAGUGAUGAAGGUUUUCGGAUCGUAAAACUCUGUUGUAAGGGAAGAACCAGUACGUCAGGCAAUGGACGUACCUUGACGGUACCUUAUUAGAAAGCCACGGCUAACUACGUGCCAGCAGCCGCGGUAACACGUAGGGGGCGAGCGUUGUUCGGAAUCAUUGGGCGUAAAGGGCGCGCAGGCGGCGAGGCAAGUCCGGUGUGAAAGUGCUCGGCUCAACCGAGUGAUGCGCUGGAAACUGCCCUGCUUGAGUACAGGAGGGGACGUCGGAAUUCCAGGUGUAGGGGUGAAAUCUGUAGAUAUCUGGAAGAACACCGGUGGCGAAGGCGGACGUCUGGCCAUGUACUGACGCUGAGGCGCGAAGGUGCGGGGAGCGAACA
RNAcentral lists this ribosomal RNA (425 nucleotides) under uncultured bacterium. Its description in RNAcentral is "bacterial SSU rRNA". It matches the Rfam family "Bacterial small subunit ribosomal RNA", at positions 356 to 774 of the family's 1533-position model. The record is from RNAcentral.